Molecule: long non-coding RNA, 1276 nt
Organism: Carcharodon carcharias (great white shark)
Lineage: Eukaryota; Metazoa; Chordata; Chondrichthyes; Lamniformes; Lamnidae
Exons: 3
Source: RefSeq, a predicted model, not a curated record
UUCCCCAGAGCAAAGGGCUGGAGGACAAGGAGAACCUGGACAAGUAUCGAAAUCCGCAGCAAACCAGAACCUUUCGCCGCCCUUACAACGUCCGUAGGCGACCCAAAGAGCAGAGUGUCAAGAUCGAGGAGGUUAAAGAGCUCCAGAACAAAACUGUCGAUAAACCCCCCGCGACAGCAGCUACCCCCCAGCCGCCGGCUGCACCCAGCGAGUGAGUGAAGGCCUGUGUCAGGCAUCCAGCCCCUCCCGCCCAGCUGGAUGCAGUGGUUUCCAAACGCAUAAUAAUGACCCGGACAGAAUUCUGCAAAACAAUAUGGCUUCCCCCGCUUCAGCCAGGAAAUCCAGGAGGGGGCAGUGGAGAGAGUAAACGUAGAAGGCUUCAAAAACACGUGAUGAGGCACCCCUCACCCCCGGCCCCUGAAAAGUAUCGCCCCCUCCAACAAACCCGCAGGAUCGAAAAGGAGAAAUGAAUAAAAUUCACGCCAUUUUUAAGUAAAAAUCGCUCUUUCUAUGUUGAUAAUGGAGAUUUCCUAUGUAAACGGUCACGCUACAGCGCCACCAGUGGCAGUAUGGUGCAGUUGCAGCGUGACAUGUUUACAUAGCGAGUUCCCAUAUGAUGGUUUGCCCUCCUCCCCGCCGAUUUCCUUUAUAAACAGUCACGCCACAGCGCCACCAGCAGCAGUAAAGAGGAGUUGCAGCGUGACAUGUUUACAUAGAGAGUUCCCACAUAUUGGUUCCCCGUGCGUAAACCAACGUGUGGGAGCUGGCUAUGUAAACGUGUCACGCUGCAACUGCUGCUUGCGGCCACUGGUGGAGCUGUAGCGUGACUGUUCACAAAAGAAAUUGGGGUGGGGAAACCAACACAUGGGAACUCACCACGUAAACAUGUCACGCUGCAACUGCAUGCGGUGGGAGUGUGUGGUCAUACUUACCCGACUUUUAUGCUUGUUUCCCAUUAUUAACGUGGACAGAUGGAGUUUAUCAUGAACACGGCCUAUGUAAACAUGCCACAUGUGGCGACGCCCUCCAGUCAUGGUGGGGGCGCUGUGACUUGACACGUUGACAUUGCAAGAGCUUAGUAUUCACGCAUCCCUGCGUACAACAGGUAAUAUCGGCCCGGAUGGGAUAAAGAAACGAGAUCUCUAAUAUUGGAUAUUUUAAUGUUAGUUUUGAUUUGAAACUUGGUAAAACAUCCUUCUCUGGAGCUAUUUUCAAGCUUCAUCCUUUGUCACCUGAACUGUGUGUAACAUCCGAAUAGAAUAAAGCAGAGGUCAUG